CUGCAGCCGCUGCUUGACAAGCUCCGCGCACGUCUGGCGUGUUGGAAGGCUAGGCUCCUCACCCUUGCUGGUAGACUCGUCCUCCUCAACUCCGUCCUAACAGCUUUCACCGUCUACUGGUCGGCCGUCUAUGCGCUCCCGCCAUGGGUUCGUAAGGAGCUAGAUCGGCUGCGGCGUGCAUGGCUAUGGCGCGGAGAGGAGGUGUGCCAUGGCGGGCACUGCAAGGUUGCGUGGAGCCGAGUUUGCCACCCGCGUGAUCUUGGUGGGCUCGGUAUUGUUGACCUGGAACGGUUCGGCGUGGCGCUCCGUCUCCGAUGGCUUUGGGCGGAAAGAACCUCGGCUACUCCCUGGCAGGGUUUA
RNAcentral lists this ribosomal RNA (360 nucleotides) under Triticum aestivum (bread wheat). Its description in RNAcentral is "partial small subunit ribosomal RNA". The record is from RNAcentral. Lineage: Eukaryota; Viridiplantae; Streptophyta; Magnoliopsida; Poales; Poaceae.